UCAGCGACGGACCGGGCCUA
Molecule: non-coding RNA, 20 nt
Filed under: Arabidopsis thaliana (thale cress)
Lineage: Eukaryota; Viridiplantae; Streptophyta; Magnoliopsida; Brassicales; Brassicaceae
Source: RNAcentral